Molecule: microRNA precursor, 103 nt
Filed under: Canis lupus familiaris (dog)
Lineage: Eukaryota; Metazoa; Chordata; Mammalia; Carnivora; Canidae
Description: mir-8834 microRNA precursor family
Rfam family: mir-8834 microRNA precursor family
Source: Rfam by way of RNAcentral
AGGAGGAACAGCCCCAGUGGCGGGGCAGCUCUGGAAACCUGGAUUCAGCCCCGCAGGGACUCCCGAGCUCUCCGUCUGCAGGGCCUGGAGGCUCCGAGGCGGG